RNAcentral lists this ribosomal RNA (496 nucleotides) under uncultured bacterium. RNAcentral's name for it is "partial 16S ribosomal RNA". It matches the Rfam family "Bacterial small subunit ribosomal RNA", at positions 28 to 507 of the family's 1533-position model. The record is from RNAcentral.
GACGAACGCUGGCGGCGUGCCUAAUACAUGCCAGUUGAGCGCUGAAGGUUGGUACUUGUACCAACUGGAUGAGCAGCGAACGGGUGAGUAACGCGUGGGGAAUCUGCCUUUGAGCGGGGGACAACAUUUGGAAACGAAUGCUAAUACCGCAUAAAAACUUUAAACACAAGUUUUAAGUUUGAAAGAUGCAAUUGCAUCACUCAAAGAUGAUCCCGCGUUGUAUUAGCUAGUUGGUGAGGUAAGGCUCACCAAGGCGAUGAUACAUAGCCGACCUGAGAGGGUGAUCGGCCACAUUGGGACUGAGACACGGCCCAAACUCCUACGGGAGGCAGCAGUAGGGAAUCUUCGGCAAUGGACGAAAGUCUGACCGAGCAACGCCGCGUGAGUGAAGAAGGUUUUCGGAUCGUAAAACUCUGUUGGUAGAGAAGAACGUUGGUGAGAGUGGAAAGCUCAUCAAGUGACGGUAACUACCCAGAAAGGGACGGCUAACUACGUG